Molecule: long non-coding RNA, 543 nt
Organism: Oncorhynchus tshawytscha (Chinook salmon)
Lineage: Eukaryota; Metazoa; Chordata; Actinopteri; Salmoniformes; Salmonidae
Source: Ensembl
UGGGGCUGAGAGGCAGGAGGGUUGAGGUGUGGUGGGGCUGAGAGGCAGGAGGGUUGAGGUGUGGUGGGGCUGAGAGGCAGGAGGGUUGAGGUGUGGUGGGGCUGAGAGGCAGGAGGGUUGAGGUGUGGUGGGGCUGAGAGGCAGGAGGGUUGAGGUGUGGUGGGGCUGAGAGGCAGGAGGGUUGAGGUGUGGUGGGGCUGAGAGGCAGGAGGGUUGAGGUGUGGUGGGGCUGAGAGGCAGAAGGGUUUAGGUGUGGGUCUGAGAGGCAGGAGGGUUGAGGUGUGGUGGGGCUGAGAGGCAGGAGGUUUGAGGUGUGGUGGGGCUGAGAGGCAGAAGGGUUUAGGUGUGGGUCUGAGAGGCAGGAGGAUUGAGAGGGCCUCAUCCCCACAGGGGGAGGAGAGUUUUCAGUGUCUAUGAUGAUAGGGGAGAGGAGGGGGUGCAGGCCCAGGGCAGGCAGGCAUGGAGAAUAGAUUGGGAGAUAGUGAGCAUUGAUGUCCCAGCAGCAGGACGUUGGUAGGGUGAUGUAAAUCAGAUGUUAAGGAG